GACGAACGCUGGCGGCGUGCUUAACACAUGCAAGUCGAACGGAAAGGCCCUGCUUUUGUGGGGUGCUCGAGUGGCGAACGGGUGAGUAACACGUGAGUAACCUGCCCUUGACUUUGGGAUAACUUCAGGAAACUGGGGCUAAUACCGGAUAGGAGCUCCUGCUGCAUGGUGGGGGUUGGAAAGUUUCGGCGGUUGGGGAUGGACUCGCGGCUUAUCAGCUUGUUGGUGGGGUAGUGGCUUACCAAGGCUUUGACGGGUAGCCGGCCUGAGAGGGUGACCGGCCAGGUUGGAAUGGGGAUGCGACACGGACCCGAACGGGAGGGGGGGGGGGGGAGUAUUACAGAGGGGGGGGGGGCAAAGUGCGGCAACGCCGCGGGGGGGAUAGGGGCCUGGGGUUUGAAACCGACUUUCCCCUGUGACGAGGCGUUAGUGACGGUAAUGGGAAAAGAAGCCCCGGCUAACUACGUG
This 468-nucleotide ribosomal RNA is filed under the name uncultured bacterium. RNAcentral describes it as "partial 16S ribosomal RNA". It matches the Rfam family "Bacterial small subunit ribosomal RNA", at positions 28 to 507 of the family's 1533-position model. The record is from RNAcentral.